RNAcentral lists this ribosomal RNA (1356 nucleotides) under uncultured archaeon. RNAcentral describes it as "16S ribosomal RNA". It matches the Rfam family "Archaeal small subunit ribosomal RNA". The record is from RNAcentral.
GGUUGAUCCUGCCGGAGGCCACCGCUAUGGGGGUCCGACUAAGCCAUGCGAGUCAUGGGGCGCGCUCUGCGCGCACCGGCGGACGGCUCAGUAACACGUCGGUAACCUACCCUCGGGGGGGGGAUAACCCCGGGAAACUGGGGCUAAUCCCCCAUAGGCCUGAGGUACUGGAAGGUCCUCAGGCCGAAAGGGCGUAAGCCGCCCGAGGAUGGGCCGGCGGCCGAUUAGGUAGUUGGUGGGGUAACGGCCCACCAAGCCGAAGAUCGGUACGGGCCAUGAGAGUGGGAGCCCGGAGAUGGACACUGAGACACGGGUCCAGGCCCUACGGGGCGCAGCAGGCGCGAAACCUCCGCAAUGCGGGAAACCGCGACGGGGGGACCCCCAGUGCCGUGGCAUCGCCACGGCUUUUCCGGAGUGUAAAGAGCUCCGGGAAUAAGGGCUGGGCAAGGCCGGUGGCAGCCGCCGCGGUAAUACCGGCGGCCCGAGUGGUGGCCGCUAUUAUUGGGCCUAAAGCGUCCGUAGCCGGGCCCGUAAGUCCCUGGCGAAAUCCCACGGCAUCAAACCGUGGGGCUUGCUGGGGAUACUGCGGGCCUUGGGACCGGGAGAGGCCGGGGGUACUCCUGGGGUAGGGGUGAAAUCCUAUAAUCCCAGGAGGACCGCCAGUGGCGAAGGCGCCCGGCUGGAACGGGUCCGACGGUGAGGGACGAAGGCCAGGGGAGCGAACCGGAUUAGAUACCCGGGUAGUCCUGGCUGUAAAGGAUGCGGGCUAGUGUCGGGCGAGCUUCGAGCUCGCCCGGUGCCGAAGGGAAGCCGUUAAGCCCGCCGCCUGGGGAGUACGGCCGCAAGGCUGAAACUUAAAGGAAUUGGCGGGGGAGCACUACAAGGGGUGGAGCGUGCGGUUUAAUUGGAUUCAACGCCGGGAACCUCACCGGGGGCGACGGCAGGAUGAAGGCCAGGCUGAAGGUCUUGCCGGACACGCCGAGAGGAGGUGCAUGGCCGCCGUCAGCUCGUACCGUGAGGCGUCCACUUAAGUGUGGUAACGAGCGAGACCCGCGCCCCCAGUUGCCAGUCCUCCCCGCUGGGGAGGAGGCACUCUGGGGGGACCGCCGGCGAUAAGCCGGAGGAAGGAGCGGGCGACGGUAGGUCAGUAUGCCCCGAAACCCCCGGGCUACACGCGCGUACAAUGGCGGAACAAUGGGAUCCGACCCCGAAAGGGGAAGGGAAUCCCCUAAACCCGCCCCCAGUUCGGAUCGCGGGCUGCAACUCGCCCGCGUGAAGCUGGAAUCCCUAGUACCCGCGUGUCAUCAUCGCGCGGCGAAUACGUCCUGCUCCUUGCACACACCGCCCGUCACUCCA